CUCGAGGCCAGAUCUUUCCGGUUGAUCCUGCCGGACCUGACUGCUAUCGGAUUGAUACUAAGCCAUGCGAGUCUUUGUAGCAAUACAAGGCAGACGGCUCAGUAACACGUAGUCAAUCUACCCUAUGGACGGGGAUAACCUCGGGAAACUGAGAAUAAUACCCGAUAGAUCAUUAUGCCUGGAAUGGUUUAUGGUCGAAAUGAUUUAUCGCCGUAGGAUGGGACUGCGGUCUAUCAGCUUGUUGGUGAGGUAAUGGCCCACCAAGGCUAUAACAGAUACGGGCUCUGAGAGGAGAAGCCCGGAGAUGGGUACUGAGACACGGACCCAGGCCCUAUGGGGCGCAGCAGGCGAGAAAACUUUGCAAUGUGCGAAAGCACGACAAGGUUAAUCCGAGUGUUUUCUGCUAAAGAAAUCCUUUGUCAGUCCUAAAAACACUGAUGAAUAAGGGGUGGCAAGUUCUGGUGUCAGCCGCCGCGGUAAAACCAGCACCUCAAGUGGUCAGGAGGAUUAUUGGGCCUAAAGCAUCCGUAGCCGGCCGUGUAAGUUUUCGGCUAAA
RNAcentral lists this ribosomal RNA (556 nucleotides) under uncultured archaeon. RNAcentral's name for it is "bacterial SSU rRNA". It matches the Rfam family "Archaeal small subunit ribosomal RNA", at positions 1 to 549 of the family's 1478-position model. The record is from RNAcentral.